UGUGAAAAUGUGAACUAAAAUAUAAAAUGAUUAAAGUUUUUAAGCUGAAUAAAUGUCCAUAUAUCGGUUGAUGAAUGUCAACAUGCGGCAUUCUCUUACAGCUCCUGAGCAGACUUUGAUCUGUGGUUAGCAAUAGCCUGCAUGAGCAGCAUCUCUUGCAGCUCCUGUGGCAUGAGCAGAUCCUGUGGAAUGAGGGUAUCAGAUUUCCUCCGUAAUACCAUCACCCCCUAAAGGUCAGCCAUCUGUGAAGGCAGUUUGAAAUUGGUGUGUGAAACUCCUCAUACAGGGUAAAUAUAACCAUAAAGAUGUCCAUGAUGUUUCUCAAUUGUCAAAACCUCCUGUAUCCCUCUAAAAGACCUAAAGUCUGCUGCUCUUUCUAAAGAUUCCUUGCUGCUCAAUCAUCUGUGAAGGCAGUUUGAAAUUGGCAUGUGAAACUCCUCACAUGGGGUAAAUAUAACCAUAAAGAUGUCCAUGGCAUAUAAUUACAAUUACUGUCUUUAACGCAGAGCCAGAUGUCAAAUGUACUUGAAGUUUCUGUGUGAAGCUCCAUGUGUGAGAUUUGUACAAUAAACAUCAUAAAUGAUGAGAAAAAGAAGUAAAAGAAAUAAGUUAAAUCUCAGAGGCUAAUCUCUGCACCAAAUACACACCAAACACACACCCACACACACACAGAGGAGCCAGAAGGUCAAGAGGUCAACCCUUGUUUUCACAUAGGCAUCCUAUAAAGACAGGGGUACCUACUGAAAGACAGAUAUCAAAGUGAGACGCAGAGAGCAGGAAGACUUCUGACAUCUGACAACUAAAAAUGGCUCAAGCAACUGUGACUCUAAACGGAGGGCUGAACCUUCAAGCAGAGGAGUCUGAGUCAUCAACUGACAUCUCAACAUCCGAGACCUCAUCUGAUACUGACUCAUCUGUGCAUUCAGAGGACGUGGUAUUACCCAGUGAGUUGCUACAUUUUUUUUUUUUUUUACCUAAAACUUACACAGAAUAUUUAUCAAAAACUCAUGCUAGAUCUGUGGGGCGGGUUUGGACCAAUAUUUCCAAGAAGGGCUAUCGCCAUCAUCACAGCCACAGGAAGACACAACUGGGAAUGCCACAGGCGGUCAAAACAUUAAACAUUCUCUAGAGGCUGUCCGGUUAACCGGAGGAGAUCCGGGGGAUGUGAUACCGCAUCAAAAUUUUGAAGAACAACCGCCAUUUCACCAGGAGUCUGUCUCAACCACUAAUCAACCGCUGAUGGCUGUGGAGAGGUCUAGGCGUCAACCAGUGGACAGAGAUCAGGAUUCUCAUCGGGUCGCAACCACAGGAGAACCAGUUCCAGUUCUGAGAAUCCACACCUGAGAUCCCGCAGGGCUUCCAGCGAAGGAUUUCCAUUGGCACGCUCAAACAGACCCAGGUCCAGACCAUCCAGGUGCCCUCAGUGUUGCAGAACUACAUGCCAGCAAAUGGAUCUGAUGUCUAGAGCCUUUUGGCUCAUCUGUCUGAAACAGUUUAAAAAUUGUCACUGUGUACACCUAAUUUCUGACGGUGAUUUUUAUCAUGUGGAUAAAUUGCAAUGAUGUUGAUUUAAGGUUUUUGUUGGAACAAAAUGUAUAUAAGUUAUGCCAUUUAUGUUUUAUUCUCAGUAGCUCGCUAUAAAGUUCAGCUAAGUGCUGUGUGUGUGUGUUAUUAACCUUGUGCUGUGAGAAAACAGGAAUCACUCCCUGCCCGCACCAGAUGGUCUGAGGAGAUGUGGUUGAUCUUAAGGCCGCUCUCACGAGAUAAACCUGACAACACCGCUUUGUUUUUUAUGUAGCAGUAUGCACUUCCCCCACUCCUUAGCAAACUAUGUAACAGGGAAAACUCCCUAAACUGAAUAAAGAGAGGAGGCUGCAUAGAUGCACUUCAGAGUGAGUAGGA
This is a long non-coding RNA of Siniperca chuatsi (mandarin fish), 1902 nucleotides long. RefSeq lists it as uncharacterized. The record is from RefSeq and is a predicted model, not a curated record. The transcript has 4 exons. Lineage: Eukaryota; Metazoa; Chordata; Actinopteri; Centrarchiformes; Sinipercidae.